RNAcentral lists this ribosomal RNA (253 nucleotides) under uncultured bacterium. RNAcentral's name for it is "partial 16S ribosomal RNA". It matches the Rfam family "Bacterial small subunit ribosomal RNA", at positions 524 to 776 of the family's 1533-position model. The record is from RNAcentral.
UACGUAGGGGGCAAGCGUUGUCCGGAUUUAUUGGGCGUAAAGAGCGUGUAGGCGGCCAGGUAGGUCUGCUGUGAAAACUCGAGGCUCAACCUCGAGACGUCGGCGGAAACCAUCUGGCUAGAGCCCGGAAGAGGAGAGUGGAAUUCCUGGUGUAGCGGUGAAAUGCGCAGAUAUCAGGAAGAACACCCGUGGCGAAGGCGGCUCUCUGGGACGGUACUGACGCUGAGACGCGAAAGCGUGGGGAGCGAACAGG